AUUUUGGACAAUGGGGGCAACCCUGAUCCAGCCAUGACGCGUGUAUGAUGAAGGCUUUCGGGCUGUAAAGUACUUUUGGCAGAGAAGAAAAGGUAUCCCCUAAUACGGGAUACUGCUGACGGUAUCUGCAGAAUAAGCACCGGCUAACUAUGUGCCAGCAGCCGCGGUAAUAAGUAGGGUGCAAGCGUUAAUCGGAAUUACUGGGCGGAAAGCGUGUGUAGGCGGUUCGGAAAGAAAGAUGUGAAAACCCAGGGCUCAACCUUGGAACUGCAUUUUUAACUGCAGAGCUAGAGUAUGUCAGAUGAGGGUAGAAUUCCACGUGUAGCAGUGAAAUGCGUAGAUAUGUGGAGGAAUACCGAUGGCGAAGGCAGCCCCCUGGGAUAAUACUGACGCUCAGACACGAAAGCGUGGGGAGCAAACAGG
Molecule: ribosomal RNA, 423 nt
Filed under: uncultured bacterium
Lineage: Bacteria
Description: partial 16S ribosomal RNA
Rfam family: Bacterial small subunit ribosomal RNA
Source: RNAcentral